GAGGGAGUGGGCUCAUCAUAUUUAAUCUUUUUACAUUGAUGUUUUUCUACAAUGACUGGCUGUGAUUUCUGGAACCACUACAGAUGGGUGAUCUGCAGAAAUGAAUCUCAUGUUUUC
Chiroxiphia lanceolata (lance-tailed manakin) is the source of this 117-nucleotide long non-coding RNA. RefSeq lists it as uncharacterized. The record is from RefSeq and is a predicted model, not a curated record. The transcript is spliced from 3 exons. NCBI's taxonomy places the organism in Eukaryota, Metazoa, Chordata, Aves, Passeriformes, Pipridae.